AUGCAUGGCCACCGGCGCACAGCACACACGGCCACCGGCUUCUCCGCAACGAACAACCUUGUCCAAGAGGUCCACAACCUUGGGAUCUCCUUCCCCGCGCAAGGACUCGGCCGAAUUCACCCUGAAGCCCUCGCCAUCAUCCUCCAACUCCAAGUCCGAGUAUCGUCGUUCGUCGUCGAUUACCUUGCUGUUGCUGCUUCCCCGGCCUCACCGACCUCGCCGUCGGGUUCAUCGAGCACGAAGUUGCUCGGUCCGGUCCGGUCUAGACCGGCCGCGAGUAGCCGGGGCGGCAGCGCAGUCGAGAGAGGUGUCGAGACGGUCGGGAAGAAGGAGGCCAUCACGCACGGCGCGCUCGUCUCAGACCUCUGCUAG
This 372-nucleotide ribosomal RNA is filed under the name Triticum aestivum (bread wheat). Its description in RNAcentral is "partial small subunit ribosomal RNA". The record is from RNAcentral. Lineage: Eukaryota; Viridiplantae; Streptophyta; Magnoliopsida; Poales; Poaceae.